AUGCUCCGCCGCCAGCGCCACUUCCUCCCGGCCAAGCCCCGCCGCCGCCCUCCGCCCCGCCCCAAACCCGCCGCCGAGCCCUCCGCCCCGACGUACACCCGCGACGUCGUCCGCCGCGUGACCAACAUACUCCGCGACCACCCCUGGUCGGCGGCGCGCCCGCUCCUCCUCUCCCUCCCGGGCCUCGUCUGGGACUCGCACGUCGUGGCGCGCGUCCUCAAGACCCACCCGCCCCUCCAGAAGGCCUUCCUCUUCUUCCGCCUCGCCGCCUCCUCCCCCACACCCGGGGCCGCCUUCCGCCACGACCGCUACACCUACACCUCCAUGCUCCACCUCCUCGGCGAGGCCGGCCGGGUCCCCGCCAUGCUCCGCCUGCUCGCCGAGAUGCUCCGCGCCGGGGUCGACCCCGACGCCGCCACGUUCACCACCGUCAUGCACUGGCUGGCGCGCGCCGGGGACGUGGACGCCGCGAUGCGGGUGUGGGAGGAGAUGCGCUCCCGCAGGGGGAAGUGCCGCCCCACGCUCGUCAGCUACACGGCCUGCGUCAAGAUCCUCUUCCACGCCGGGAGGGCCGCCGAGGGCAGGAGGGUGUUCGAGGAGAUGGUGGCCGAGGGGCUGCGGCCCAGCUGCACCACCUACACCGUGCUCAUCGAGCAUCUCGCUGACGCAGGAAAAUUCCAAGCUACUCUACAAAUUAUGAGUGACAUGCAAGAUGCAGGCGUAGAACCAGACAAGCCACUCUGCAAUAUUCUAGUCAAGAAGUGUGCCAGCGCUGGUGAGACGUCAGUGAUGACCUUCAUUCUUCAGCACAUGAAGGAGAAAGGCAUUGUUCUCCGUAGGCCUGUCUUUUUGGAAGCACUAGAAGCUCUAAAAGCUAGUGGUGAGAGCCCUAAUCUUCUUUGGGAAGUGAAUCCUCAUCUUGCAUCCGAAGGAAUGGAAUAUGACCCAACAUUUUCUCAUCGAAGCUACAUUACUUACAGAAGUACGAUUAUAUACCUUUUGGCUUCUAGAAACUGGUCUGCUAUCGAACAGAUGGUAAAUGAAUUGACCACGAGGAAUGUGAAGUUGGAAUCGCAUAUAAUAUCUGAUAUUAUUCAGGCCAGCUGCGCAAACUGCAGACCAUCAUGUGGACUCACAGUUCUGUACUAUAGCCUAAGAGUAGGCAGUGAACUUGACAGAUCUGCAUAUAGUUGCCUUCUUGGUCAGUACAUCAGAAAUAAUUCGUUUGAUUUGGUGUCUAAGAUUGUUGAAAGAUUGGUUAAACAUGGCUGCAAUCUUGGAGCAUAUCUGUUAUCUGUCUUAAUACUCAGACUGGGUUCUGCUGGGCAUUCUUCAUACGCGGCACAUAUCUUUGGGUUAUCACCUGCAGAGCAGAAUGUGAUUACCUACACUGCCCUUAUGAAUGCCUAUUUUCAAGCUGGCGAAGUUGAUAAGGCUCUUGAACUAUUCACACAGAUGAUAACUAAUGAGAUAUCUGCUUCUGCGGGUACAUAUGAAGUUCUGAUAUAUGGCUUACAAAAGGCUGGGCGGAAACAGGACUCUGACCGUUACCGAAGAGAAAGAAUGGAGAUGCAAUGGCAUCGUCAGUACCGUGACAAGCAUUCCCCUGAAGAUAGCUUAUGUGACCAUUUAUUUUGUGGCUUUCAUGGUUAGAAGAAAGAAGAUUGUUUGUUGGGUGAUGUUCUAUACUUGGGGAUUUCCUUAGCUCUACCCACCCAGCUUCAUUUUUUCACAGAUUGAAGGUGUAUAAAUGGAUCUCCUGAUAUUUGCUUUGACACAAAGUUAUUACACAGCAAACAUGUGAUUACUUUUCCAUGGCAUGGUAAAAGAAAAUAAAACUGGUUGAUCUCUACAUGGUUACAAGAACCAAGGGAUGGUGAAACUAAAUCGAAAGAGUCUCAUGAAAGGAUUGCUGAAUUUGGAACCUAGAAUGUAUAAGCUAACUCUUUAUGUUAGUGACGACUGCUGAUGUAAAGGGAGAAAAUCCAUUAGAGCUGAACCGUGAAAGGGUGAGAGCGCAUCAUUGGAGUACUAUGGAGGUCACGAAGCAGCUGGAAGUCUGGAAGUGCAAAGGAGCAACUUAAUUGUUGGAUAGCUUGUUAAAAUUUAAGGAAACAAUCAUGUGUGUUUAUGCGCAGAUGGCCCUGCAACCACUUAACCUGCAAGAGCUCAAGGAUCCGUAUCUACCUGCUGAAUUAGGUACUGCAAACAAACAGCCAACGAAUUAUUUUUGCAAAUCGUUAACUGCAAGUGACACAAGCUCGCAGCUGAGAAAGUGUUUCCUCUGGUGGAUUUCACUAUGCAACCUCCAGCACAGGAGUUGCCUGCAAAAGAUCUUCAUGGCAAUGAGUAGAAAUUCAUUAGAGCUGACGGUGGAGGGGAUGUUGCGUGCUAAGAGAUGAUCACCUGGAGCACCCCAUCUCUUUCAUUUCUUCAUCCCACUGUCAUCCAAGUCGCCUAUUUUAAGCACGCCUGCAGCUUGAGUGGCGGUGAUUAAUUUAGACUUGGAGGUGUGAGAUAAUUAAGCUCGCUUUCGCUAACCGCUCCCUUCUACCACCUCGCAAGACCACUCUAAAGCAAGAUGAACCGUACAAGCAUUUGCUCUUCCCCAAUGGAAAAAAGGAAAUGUGGCAGUUUAGGCACCGCCUCAGCUCGAAGCUUAACCACAAUAUAAAAUCAGCUGGUCAGUAUUAUGCCAUGCGUGAUUUAUUCCGGUCAAUGAGGGUAGCUGGUGCAUGUGGUUGCAAUUACAGACGUGGUUACCUGAAGAUUUCCAACAAAGGAAAGGCGUUCCCCAUGGGAAACUACGAACAGGGAAAGGCUUGAAUUCUCUGGACACCCUGACAACAACCACAAUAACUGCCGUGUAUCAACAUGUCACAUCAGUGAAGAAAUUUUGACGGAGUGACCCACAGAUACUCACCUCUCACCCUGAAAUAGCAUCUGUGGCCUGGAGUUUUCCAGGGUUUCUCUGAAUUUGGAAGUUACACUUGGCAGAUUUCCAUGGGUGGCACAGAUAUAGGCUGAAGAAAAUUGAGACGAUGCACCAUUGCAAUCUAAAUUGAAGUGAAGCACCUGAACUGGCUCUGAAGAAAGGUGAUCUGU
This is an RNA transcript of Triticum dicoccoides, 3105 nucleotides long. It is a transcript of the gene named pentatricopeptide repeat-containing protein At2g01390-like, with no coding region annotated. Lineage: Eukaryota; Viridiplantae; Streptophyta; Magnoliopsida; Poales; Poaceae. The transcript is spliced from 5 exons. The record is from RefSeq and is a predicted model, not a curated record.